AUGUUGACAAAAUCACUUAAUAUGCAACCAUCCAUAGGAUUAGGAACCGGUACAAUCCAAUUUACAUCGACAAAACAUAUAACUACAAAGGUUGUCACUCGUGUUCUUGUCGUCGACCCUCCUGAUGGCAACUAUAUGGCAUGGCAGAUUCUGAUGGACAGCAACAUACCACAGUGCAGCGAUUUGUCUCUACUUGGUUCCCUGCAGUUUGUCUCUACUUGUUAUCCUGCAGUGUUCAAGAUACAGAAGAAAUUCAGAGAAAAUUUAGGGUUAAAGAUUCAGAGAGGAAGCGGUCACCAGAGAGAAGUGUGCCGAAUUAAAGUCAAAUGA
This 330-nucleotide ribosomal RNA is filed under the name Triticum aestivum (bread wheat). RNAcentral describes it as "partial small subunit ribosomal RNA". The record is from RNAcentral. Lineage: Eukaryota; Viridiplantae; Streptophyta; Magnoliopsida; Poales; Poaceae.